GAUGAACGCUAGCGAUAGGCUUAACACAUGCAAGUCGAGGGGCAGCACAAGGUAGCUUGCUAUCUCGGUGGCGACCGGCGCACGGGUGCGUAACGCGUAUGCAACUUGCCCUAUACAGGAGGAUAACCCGUCGAAAGACGGACUAAUACUGCGUAUGCUCACAACUUGGCAUCAAGUGGUGAGGAAAGAAAUUCGGUAUAGGAUAGGCAUGCGUCCCAUUAGCUUGUUGGUGAGGUAACGGCUCACCAAGGCAACGAUGGGUAGGGGAACUGAGAGGUUUAUCCCCCACACUGGUACUGAGACACGGACCAGACUCCUACGGGAGGCAGCAGUGAGGAAUAUUGGUCAAUGGGCGCGAGCCUGAACCAGCCAAGUCGCGUGAAGGAUGACUGUCCUAUGGAUUGUAAACUUCUUUUAUACGGGAAUAACAAGAGUCACGUGUGACUCCCUGCAUGUACCGUAUGAAUAAGCAUCGGCUAACUCCGUG
RNAcentral lists this ribosomal RNA (487 nucleotides) under uncultured bacterium. RNAcentral describes it as "partial 16S ribosomal RNA". It matches the Rfam family "Bacterial small subunit ribosomal RNA", at positions 28 to 507 of the family's 1533-position model. The record is from RNAcentral.